GACGAACGCUGGCGGCGUGCUUAACACAUGCAAGUCGAACGGAAAGGCCCUGCUUUUGUGGGGUGCUCGAGUGGCGAACGGGUGAGUAACACGUGAGUAACCUGCCCUUGACUUUGGGAUAACUUCAGGAAACUGGGGCUAAUACCGGAUAGGAGCUCCUGCUGCAUGGUGGGGGUUGGAAAGUUUCGGCGGUUGGGGAUGGACUCGCGGCUUAUCAGCUUGUUGGUGGGGUAGUGGCUUACCAAGGCUUUGACGGAUAGCCGGCCUGAGAGGGUGACCGGCCACAAUGGGACUGAGAUACGGCCCAGACUCCUACGGGAGGCAGCAGUGGGGAAUAUUGCACAAUGGGCGGAAGCCUGAUGCAGCAACGCCGCGUGCGGGAUGACGGCCUUCGGGUUGUAAACCGCUUUCGCCUGUGACGAAGCGUGAGUGACGGUAAUGGGUAAAGAAGCACCGGCUAACUACGUG
Molecule: ribosomal RNA, 468 nt
Filed under: uncultured bacterium
Lineage: Bacteria
Description: partial 16S ribosomal RNA
Rfam family: Bacterial small subunit ribosomal RNA
Source: RNAcentral